UACAGAGGUCCCAAGCGUUGUUCGGAUUCACUGGGCGUAAAGGGUGCGUAGGCGGUCGGGUACGUCUGGUGUGAAAUCUCACAGCUUAACUGUGAAACUGCAUUGGAUACUAUCCGGCUCGAGGAAUGGAGGGGAGACUGGAAUACUUGGUGUAGCAGUGAAAUGCGUAGAUAUCAAGUGGAACACCAGUGGCGAAGGCGAGUCUCUGGACAUUUCCUGACGCUGAGGCACGAAAGCCAGGGGAGCAAACGGG
This 253-nucleotide ribosomal RNA is filed under the name uncultured bacterium. RNAcentral's name for it is "partial 16S ribosomal RNA". It matches the Rfam family "Bacterial small subunit ribosomal RNA", at positions 524 to 776 of the family's 1533-position model. The record is from RNAcentral.